RNAcentral lists this long non-coding RNA (2983 nucleotides) under Homo sapiens (human). RNAcentral describes it as "HSALNT0354327". The record is from RNAcentral. Lineage: Eukaryota; Metazoa; Chordata; Mammalia; Primates; Hominidae.
ACCUAUUGAUAUUCACUCCAUCACAGGACUUGGAACAGUUUUGCUAGCAGAAAAUACGACUCUCUUCUAUGCUGUGGUAAAAUAGUACAACCACAAGGCCAGGAUCCAUAGAAUGUGACCAGCUGUUUCAGUGGUUUUCUGUUACUAUUUGUGAAGUCUUCAUUCUUGUCAUCUCUAGCAGAAGAGUGGUGCCAGUUGCCAGAGGUUUGAGGAAAAAGAAGUCAUGGGAGAAUUUACAUUUCAGAAAAUUCCAUUCAUUGACUUAAUUAUUUCUGGGAAUUCAGAAAAGACCACCAUGAUCCUUUAGCCGCGAAAACACUUGGGCCAGUUUUGGAAAUGCUAGAAUCCUGCAGGAGAAGCUUUUGAGAAAUUCAGUACUGUGCAGUGUUGUAACCCGAAUACUUUGCUGGAGAAAGGGUUACUGAGAGAUCAUAUUCACAAAUCAACGUGCAAUAGUGAAAAAAGAUGGCAACACUGAAGAACCUUACUGAAUAACCCAGUAUGGACCACGUAUUGUAAUAGGCACUUAAUUUCUCUCAAUCCUUUCGAUAUCUCCUUGAAAUAGCGAAGGUCAUAUGAUAGCUGCUUAAUAAAAUUUGCUGAUCGAAUGAAGGAGCUAAUGAAUUCAAUAAAAUCAGGGAAGGCUUCUUGGAGGAGGAGCACCUUGCUCCAGUGGGCUGAGAAGACAUUCCAUGAGACCAGAGCAAGGAGAGGAGUGGCCUGGCAGCUGAAGCCAGAGACAGACUUGAACCUGGAGUUUACCUUUUUGAGAGUUAAAUCUGUGUGGAGGAGGAAAGGAGGAGAGACUAGAAGCGGAGAGGCCCUUUGGAGGCUCUGGUUCAGGCAAAAAAGGAUGGGCUGUGAAUUCCUGCAUUUAUCUACCUUUGUUUUCCUGUGUAGACACAAGGCUGCCUGGCCUCUCAGAGAAUCUUCACAUCAAACCUAGGAGAAAGGUACUAUUAUCAUCUCUAAGUUACAAAAAUGGGAACUGAGCCACCAAAUGGCUAAGUGGUUUGCCUAAGAACACAGCGCUGGGCAGACAGAGGAACCAGGGGACUUAGGCCUUGCCAAGGAGGUGACAGUUGGACUGGCCUGGAGGGACUGGCCUGGAAAGAACAGCUACAGUAUGGCCACAGGGUUCCGGGAUGGCCAAGGAGGCCCAUCUCACCAGACCUGGCCCUGAGAAACUUCACCAGCAAGGCUUUCAAAUCGGGUGCGUGAUUGCUACGACGUGAGUUCCCUUCCAGUAGGGCCUGCAGCUGCUCUGUCCUCCUGGAUGGAGAAUCUGACUCCAACUCAGCUUCCCAAACCACACACAAUUCCAAGAUGAGACUGGUCUUCCUCUGGGGGACCAAGGAGAAAUGUGGUAAUUUAGACUCUCAAAGACUCUUCCUAAAAAGCUGGGCUGUUAAGGAAUCCACUCCAAGCGAUCACCAUCUGUGGCAGGCAGCUGGUGGAAUAGACAGAACUGUUUUGACAUCAGAUGAACUAGAAUUUGAAUACUGGUUUAGUCCUGUCUAGCUGUAGGGAUUUGAAGGGAAAUACAGUUUUUCUUUCGGAAAACCAGGACAAUAAUAUUGUACUAGAUUUGUGAGGUUAAAGAUAUAGAAGGUAUAGACAGCUAGGAGGUGUUGGGAGAUUGGGGCUUCUAUUCUUUGUUUUGCAUUAUUAUUCUUAGCAAAGCCACUUACAGGGUGUCUGAAGAAGCAUCCCUUUCUUUGGCUCCAGAGUGUGAGUAGAGUUUAUUAGGGUCCCCCUGGCUUUUGGGUCCACCCAGUUUCUUCUGCAGACAAUGUUUGGACUGAACUUCACUCUCUGUACAAUGAGGAAACCUGUUUUAAAGGCCUCACUUGUCAAAAAAACAGCCAUAAAACAGACUUAAUGAGACUUCUGGAUACAGCCAGGCCCAUGUGAUUGGCUGCUCCAGGGCAGGCAAGGCUGGAAUUCAGGGCUCUGAACGUGCUGGCCGGCUGCGCUCCAGCCCCGGUCUGUGCUGGUGGUGUUCCGUGUGCUCUGUCCGCCUCUCCUUUAACUUCCCUGAUAAAAUGCUUACUUGGAUAUUGUUCUGAGAUGAUUGAUUGUUAAAUGCCCUGCAAAUACAAAACUAGGCUGCUAAGUCACACUCGAGAGAAGUCCAGGAAAUCCUCUAGUUGAAUGUUACAGCCGGCUUCUCCUGAAUAGAGGCACAGCAGCAGAUUUCACCUAGCCAACCCGUUUGCUUUUUAAAUGGGGAGACCGAGGCCCUGAAAGGGGAAAGCACUUACAUAAUAUGUAUGUUUUAUUACAACUAAAAAAAAAAAAGACAGAGAGAAAGACGAAUAGACAAGGCCCUCGUAGACCAGGAGGAUGGCAGACUCACUGGAUUCAUGCUGGGUGGGGGGCCUCUCUAAGCUCUUUCCCCCACUCUACCUUUCUGCUCCUUCUCCUUUAUUCCCCAUAGAUAGAGAGCAGUUUUUCCUCCUAGUACCAAAUGUGGAUGGUGGCAUAUUCUUUCCCUUUUACAGAAAUAUUAAAUCCCCCCAGGUCACACAGCUGUGUUGUCUGGGUGGUGGCUGAACCAGGAUUCCAUCUCAGGUGUGUCUGAUGGCCAUCACGAUACCACUGUAAAGCUGAGCUCAUUGACUAACGCUUAGGAAGUGGAGGGCCUUACAUUCUAGAUUCCAACCUUCGCCUACAACAAAGGAAACUGCCGGUAUUUUCCCAUUGCUAGUGACCUCUGCUUUCUUGUGACCAACAAGUAAGCAAGUCAAGUCCAUUUGUUAAGCUCUGUGACUCUUUUCAUUGUUAGGAAAAUUUGGACUUCAAAGUGAGGGAGUUUUGGGGGAUGCUUGGCCUCUUUGGGACCGAGAGGGUGAGGACAGCUGUUUUCUUGUUCAAUUGGCAGCCCUGGAUUAAAUUUCUAAUUUUCUUCCUCACCUAUUUCCUCCCUGUUUCCUAUAAGCUUAGCCCUUUUCCUGGCACAUAGUAGGUGUUCAAUAAAUAU